Molecule: ribosomal RNA, 2103 nt
Filed under: Triticum aestivum (bread wheat)
Lineage: Eukaryota; Viridiplantae; Streptophyta; Magnoliopsida; Poales; Poaceae
Description: partial small subunit ribosomal RNA
Source: RNAcentral
AUGGGAGUUCAGUCACCGAGGAAGAGCGACGAUGGUGAUGGCGGAAAGUACACGCCGCCGAGCAAGAGGCUCGGAGCCAGCGGCUCCGAUGGGACGAUCGUCGUGGCUGCGCCGGUGAGGAGCGUCGGAGUGCCGAUCCAAUACCCGCAGCUAACAGAAGGUAAUUAUCAGUUGUGGGCAGCGAAGAUGAAGAUCAUCCUCAAGCCAAUGGGCGUGUGGUCGUCGAUCACCGGAGAAGACGUCGACGAGGCCAAGGAUCAGGGAGCCAUGGCUGCUAUCUCGCAGUCCGUUCCCGACGACGUGAUGAUGUCCAUCGUGGAGUACGAGUCUGCGAAGGAGGCUUGGGAUGCUAUCCGUACCAUGCGCAUAGGCGAUGAGCGUGUGGUGCAGGCGCGUAUCAGCCACUUGACAAGGCGCUUCGAGCGGCUAACCAUGGAAGAUGGCGAAGAAGUCGGGGCGUUCGGGCGCCGACUCACCGCGCUCGUCGGAGAAAUUCGAGCACUUGGCGAGAACUUGCAGGAGCACGCUGUUGUCAAGCGGCUGUUCGCGGCGGUCCCGGAUCGCUUCCUGCCGAUAAUCGGGACAAUCGAGCAAUGGGGCGACGUCAAGAAGAUGUCGGUCGCCGAGGCCAUUGGGCGGCUGCGGGCGUUCGAGGAGAACGAGUCCGGGCGGCGCCAAGACCGCAGCGACGACGGCGAGAAGCUGAUGCUGGUCUCGCGUGCAGAGCUGGAGGCUCUAAUCCAGAAAGAAAAGAAGAAGGGAGAAGGGUCCAGCAGCAGCGGCAAGGACGGUGAUGGGUGCGGUGGUGGCCGCGGCCGGGACGACGACAGGAAGAAGGUUCGCGGCAAGUUCGACAAGUCCAAGAUUACCUGCUUCGAGUGCGGGGAGAAAGGACACUUCAAGUCUGAGUGUGAGGCGUGGAAGAAAGAGAAGGCGCUCCUAGUUGCUGCCGACGUCGACGACGAGCCGGCGCUGCUCAUGGCUAUGGCAUGUGAGCUUGCGCCUGAGGUGGACGGCACCGCAGGUGUCCUUGAGCCUACAGAGAUGGAGGCAGAGGGCGGCCAUGCACUGGGAGGCGAGUUCUUCAAGCCCUCUGAUGCAUCGAUGGAGGUUGAAACUGCUAAGGCUGGGGUCGCACGGCUACGCGGAGAGUUGGCCGCCGCUAAUGCAAAGUUGCAUGCCCUGUCUGACGAGUACAUGACACAGGCUGAGGAGUUGGUACAUGCAAGGGAGGAGAAGGCCAAGUUCUUGGAGAUGCAGCGUGUGAUCUGUGAUGAGAAUGGACGACUCAGGGAUCUGGUGGUACAUGCAGCUGAAGCACCCAUUCAAGUCAAGACGGCGCCGGCCGCAGGGAGUGCGGCAACGACGCUGCCGACGCCGGUCGUGAGGGCUGCUGUUACGACGCCGCCGUCGGCCGCGGUGACACUCGGCGUGAAGAAGCCGGGAGUGAAGAUCAAAGAGAACAAGGGAUGUCGGUCUGAUAUGCUCCUCACGGAUGAGGGAAGUGAACUCGUUGAGAAGAGCAAGAACUUUGUGAUGCUGAAUGAGGAGAACGUCAAGGCUUUGUUGAGCAUGGAUGGAUCAGCUGAUGCAUGGUGGCUUGAUAGUGGUGCUAGUAACCACAUGACUGGCUCACGGUGCAAAUUCAAGGAGAUAGAUGAAAGCAUCCGUGGCCAUGUGAAGCUCGGAGAUGGGUCUAUUGCUCUGAUUAAAGGGAAAGGUUCAGUCAUUGUUGAAUGCAAGAGCGGUGAGCAACUGCAUCUGACGAAGGUAUAUUUUGUACCAAGUUUACCUAGUAACAUAAUUAGUCUUGGUAAGCUGGCAGAGGAUGGCAAUCGUGUAGUGCUAGAUGGUACAUUCUUGUGGGUUAGAGGCAGGUCUGGAAAGAUGCAGAUGAAGGUUAAGAGAUCACCCAACCGACUGUACAUGGUGCGACUCAAGACAGUUGUUGGUGCUGCUCAUGUGUCAUCAAGAAAACGGAGCCCAGAAGCUUUCAGACUCCAGCAGCAGCAGCUCGAGAUGGAGAUGCCAUCAGUGAACGGGGGUGUCACCCACCGUGGCGUCAGGUCAGGAGCAUCAGGCAGCAACAAAGUUAGGGAGUGA